GACGAACGCUGGCGGCGUGCCUAAUACAUGCAAGUCGAACGCUGAAGGCGGAGCUUGCUCUUCUGGACGAGUUGCGAACGGGUGAGUAACGCGUAGGUAACCUGCCCGGUACCGGGGGAUAACUAUUGGAAACGAUAGCUAAUACCGCAUAACAGUAGAUGUUGCAUGACAUUUACUGAAAAGGUGCAAUGGCAUCACUACCAGAUGGAGCUGCGUUGUAUGGGCUAGUGGUUGGGGUAACGGCUCACCAAGGCGACGAUGCAGAGCCGACCGGCGAGGGGGAUCAGCCAGACUGGGACUGAGACCCGGCCCAGUCGCCUUCGGGAGGCAGCAGUAGUGAAUCUUGGGCAAGGGGCGGAAGUCAGAGCGAGCUACGCCGCGGGAGUGAAGAAGAAUUUCGGAUCGGAGAGGUCGGUUGUAGGGGAGGAACGAGUGUGAGAGUGGAAAGUACACACUGUGACGGUAUCUGACCAGAAAGCAACGGCUAACUACGUG
Molecule: ribosomal RNA, 495 nt
Filed under: uncultured bacterium
Lineage: Bacteria
Description: partial 16S ribosomal RNA
Rfam family: Bacterial small subunit ribosomal RNA
Source: RNAcentral